This is a non-coding RNA of Pantherophis guttatus, 249 nucleotides long. The record is from RefSeq and is a predicted model, not a curated record. Lineage: Eukaryota; Metazoa; Chordata; Lepidosauria; Squamata; Colubridae.
CUGACAUUAGAUGAUUGGAAAAAAAGAAACUGCAUGGGAAGGAUGGAUGAUCUAAGGAAAACUAUUUGUGCAACAUUGUUAACUUGGAGUGUUGGUUCCAUAUCCAGAUGAUGGUAGGGAAGCCAAAGACCAACGCCGGCCAUCUGCCCUGAAAGUAACAAGGUCUCAAGCUGACAAUUUUCCCAGCCCUGCCGCUUGAACUCUGUUAACUGUAGAAGCUGAGGAUUGAAGCAGAGACCUCUAAGUGAA